This 429-nucleotide ribosomal RNA is filed under the name uncultured archaeon. Its description in RNAcentral is "bacterial SSU rRNA". It matches the Rfam family "Archaeal small subunit ribosomal RNA", at positions 474 to 903 of the family's 1478-position model. The record is from RNAcentral.
UACCAGCUCUCCGAGUGGUGUGGAUGUUUAUUGGGCCUAAAGCAUCCGUAGCUGGCUGGACAAGUCCCCUGUUAAAUCCACCGAUUUAAUCGUUGGUGUGCGGGGGAUACUGUUCGGCUGGGGGACGGGAGAGGCCGACGGUAUUUCCGGGGUAGGGGUGAAAUCCUAUAAUCCCGGGAAGACCACCAGUGGCGAAGGCUGUCGGCUAGAACGCGCCCGACGGUGAGGGAUGAAAGCUGGGGGAGCGAACCGGAUUAGAUACCCGGGUAGUCCCAGCUGUAAACGAUGCAGGCUAGGUGUUUGGGCGGCCACGUGCCGCUCUAGUGCCGCAAGGAAGCUGUUAAGCCUGCCGCCUGGGGAGUACGGCCGCAAGGCUGAAACUUAAAGGAAUUGGCGGGGGAGCACCACAAGGGGUGAAGCUUGCGGUUU